This 460-nucleotide ribosomal RNA is filed under the name uncultured bacterium. RNAcentral describes it as "partial 16S ribosomal RNA". It matches the Rfam family "Bacterial small subunit ribosomal RNA", at positions 338 to 795 of the family's 1533-position model. The record is from RNAcentral.
CCUACGGGUGGCAGCAGUGAGGAAUAUUGGUCAAUGGGCGGAAGCCUGAACCAGCCAAGUAGCGUGCAGGAUGACGGCCCUACGGGUUGUAAACUGCUUUUAUACGGGAAUAACGCGCCUUACGUGUAGGGCUUUGCAUGUACCGUAUGAAUAAGGACCGGCUAAUUCCGUGCCAGCAGCCGCGGUAAUACGGCAGGUCCGGGCGUUAUCCGGAUUUAUUGGGUUUAAAGGGAGCGUAGGCCGCAUGUCAAGCGUGCUGUGAAAUGGACGGGCUCAACCCGGGCCUUGCAGCGCGAACUGGCGUGCUUGAGUCCGCGGAAAGCAGGCGGAAUUCGUCGUGUAGCGGUGAAAGGCUUAGAUAUGACGAAGAACCCCGAUUGCGAAGGCAGCUUGCUGCAGCGGAACUGACGCUGAUGCUCGAAAGCGCGGGUAUCGAACAGGAUUAGAUACCCCAGUAGUC